GACGAACGCUGGCGGCGUGCUUAACACAUGCAAGUCGAACGGAAAGGCCCUGCUUUUGUGGGGUGCUCGAGUGGCGAACGGGUGAGUAACACGUGAGUAACCUGCCCUUGACUUUGGGAUAACUUCAGGAAACUGGGGCUAAUACCGGAUAGGAGCUCCUGCUGCAUGGUGGGGGUUGGAAAGUUUCGGCGGUUGGGGAUGGACUCGCGGCUUAUCAGCUUGUUGGUGGGGUAGUGGCUUACCAAGGCUUUGACGGGUAGCCGGCCUGAGAGGGUGACCGGCCACAUUGGGACUGAGAUACGGCCCAGACUCCUACGGGAGGCAGCAGUGGGGAAUAUUGCACAAUGGGCGGAAGCCUGAUGAAGCAACGCCGCGUGCGGGAUGACGGCCUUCGGGUUGUAAACCGCUUUCGCAUGUGACGAAGCGUGAGUGACGGUAAUGGGUAAAGAAGCACCGGCUAACUACGUG
RNAcentral lists this ribosomal RNA (468 nucleotides) under uncultured bacterium. RNAcentral describes it as "partial 16S ribosomal RNA". It matches the Rfam family "Bacterial small subunit ribosomal RNA", at positions 28 to 507 of the family's 1533-position model. The record is from RNAcentral.